This 497-nucleotide ribosomal RNA is filed under the name uncultured bacterium. RNAcentral's name for it is "partial 16S ribosomal RNA". It matches the Rfam family "Bacterial small subunit ribosomal RNA", at positions 28 to 507 of the family's 1533-position model. The record is from RNAcentral.
GAUGAACGCUGGCGGCGUGCCUAAUACAUGCAAGUCGAGCGAACGGGCGAGAAGCUUGCUUCUCUGAUGUUAGCGGCGGACGGGUGAGUAACACGUGGAUAACCUACCUAUAAGACUGGGAUAACUUCGGGAAACCGGAGCUAAUGCCGGAUAAUAUUUUGAACCGCAUGGUUCAAAAGUGAAAGACGGUCUUGCUGUCACUUAUAGAUGGAUCCGCGCUGCAUUAGCUAGUUGGUAAGGUAACGGCUUACCAAGGCAACGAUGCAUAGCCGACCUGAGAGGGUGAUCGGCCACACUGGAACUGAGACACGGUCCAGACUCCUACGGGAGGCAGCAGUAGGGAAUCUUCCGCAAUGGGCGAAAGCCUGACGGAGCAACGCCGCGUGAGUGAUGAAGGUCUUCGGAUCGUAAAACUCUGUUAUUAGGGAAGAACAUAUGUGUAAGUAACUGUGCACAUCUUGACGGUACCUAAUCAGAAAGCCACGGCUAACUACGUG